RNAcentral lists this long non-coding RNA (1566 nucleotides) under Suricata suricatta (meerkat). RNAcentral describes it as "lncRNA (ENSSSUG00005017039.1)". Lineage: Eukaryota; Metazoa; Chordata; Mammalia; Carnivora; Herpestidae. The record is from RNAcentral.
CAAAACUAUACAUAUGAUCUUUAAAAAAAUUUUUUUUACAUUUAUUUAUUUUAGAGAGACAAAGACAGAGCACAAGUGGCGGAGGGACGGAGAGAGAGGAAGACAUAGAAUCUGAAGCAGGCUCCAGGCUCUGAGCUGUCAGCACAGAGCCCAACCUGGGGCUCGAACUCACAAAAGUGAGAUCAUGACUUGAGCCGAAGUCAGAUGCUUAACCGACUGAGCCACCCAGGCGCCCCAAAACUAUACAUAUUAUCUUAAAAUGGGAAUGAGGAAUAGAUAUUUUCAAAAUUCUUUUAGGAGCUGUAAGAAAAAAAGUUUGUACUCCACAGGGGGCCUUGUGGCAGGAACCGAGCACUAUAGAGAAGCAGCGCCACCUUGUGGCUAGUUGAGAGGCUGCAGCAGAAUGAGCAAAGAGUCCUAGAAAGAAGGUAAGUCUGGGGACAAGAGUUGGGACUCUAGAGGCUUUGUCCACCUCCGUAUGAGAGUCUCUCUCCACUGCACUUGCAGCUAUGGCCCCCGGGAUCCAGCCACAACAAACACAACAAAUAGGAACCAGAAGUCAGUCUAUAUGAACAGGUUAUAUCUUGUGUUAAAUAACAGUAUAAAUUGUUGCCAGGAAUGGAAGGACCAGCCACAUCAUAAACAUGACAUUGUUCCAGUCCCUAAGACUCCACAUUUGCAAUCGGAGAUGGGUUCACACUUUGGAAUCUGAAGCCCCCUGGAAACUCCGUGACUCCCUAUGGAGCCUGGAAUGCUAAAGACAGAAGUGAACUCUGUGACUCUCUAACUGGUGAAAGCUGCCCAGGACCCUUCCAGAAUGAAGCAGAGCAAAGUCCAGAAGAUGAAUGUCUCCUAAAACUUAGGAGCAGGUAAACCCUCUUCAAAGUAUUCAGAAUUGCUCCUUCCCUGUUCCAUUAGUGCCUUAGCCCCUGACCAAGGCCUGUGAGGGUAGCUAUUAUCUACCAUCGGCUGGGAACUUUACAUGUCCAUGGAUCUCUAACUUCCCAUUACAUUGUAAAAUAGAGCAAGCCUGCAAAAAAGUAUCAGGACAAACGUGUGCAUAGAUGAACCUCACAAACAUGCUCUAAAUGAAAGAAGCCAGUCGCAAGAGGCCACCGGUUGUCUGCUUCCAUUUAUGUGAAAUACCCAGAAGAGGCACUUUAGAGAUAGAAAGUAGAUGAGUGAUUGCCAGAGGCUGGGGAACAAGGUGGGGAGGGGUGAAUACCUGCUAAUGGGCAGAGUUUCUCUUUGAGGUGACAUAUUCUAAAAUUAGAUUUGUGUAGGGGCGCCUGGGUGGCUCAGUGGUUAAACUCCCAGCUUCGGCUCAGGUCAUGAUGUCCCGGUCUGUGAGUUUGAGCCCCUCAUCGGUUCCGUGCUGACAGCUCAGAGCCGGAGACUGGAUUCCGUAUUUCUCUCUCUGCCCCUCCCCUGCUCACACUCUGUGUGUGUGUCUCUCUCUCAAAAAUAAAUAAACAUUUAAAAAAAUUAAGUAAAAAAACGAAAAAAUUUACAGAUAAAAACAAAAUUACACUGUGGUCAUGAUUACACUACGUUGAAUAUAUUAAG